AUCCAGGCUAAUAGAACCAAGUGGACAGAAUGGGUUAUUGUUGUUUAUUAUUAUCCAGGCUAUUAGAACCAAGUGGACAGAAUGGGUUAUUGUUGUUUAUUAUUAUCCAGGCUAUUAGAACCAAGUGGGCAGAAUGGGUUAUUGUUGUUUAUUAUUAUCCAGGCUAUUAGAACCAAGUGGGCAGAAUGGGUUAUUAUUGUUUAUUAUUAUCCAGGCUAUUAGAACCAAGUGGGCAGAAUGGGUUAUUGUUGUUUAUUAUUAUCCAGGCUAUUAGAACCAAGUGGACAGAAUGGGUUAUUGUUGGUUAUUAUUAUCCAGGCUAUUAGAACCAAGUGGGCAGAAUGGGUUAUUGUUGGUUAUUAUUAUCCAGGCUAUUAGAACCAAGUGGACAGAAUGGGUUAUUGUUGUUUAUUAUUAUCCAGGCUAAUAGAACCAAGUGGACAGAAUGGGUUAUUGUUGUUUAUUAUUAUCCAGGCUAUUAGAACCAAGUGGACAGAAUGGGUUAUUGUUGGUUAUUAUUAUCCAGGCUAUUAGAACCAAGUGGACAGAAUGGGUUAUUGUUGGUUAUUAUUAUCCAGGCUAUUAGAACCAAGUGGACAGAAUGGGUUAUUGUUGGUUAUUAUUAUCCAGGCUAAUAGAACCAAGUGGACAGAAUGGGUUAUUGUUGUUUAUUAUUAUCCAGGCUAUUAGAACCAAGUGGACAGAAUGGGUUACUGUUGGUUAUUAUUAUCCAGG
RNAcentral lists this long non-coding RNA (735 nucleotides) under Salmo salar (Atlantic salmon). RNAcentral's name for it is "lncRNA (ENSSSAG00000106941.1)". Lineage: Eukaryota; Metazoa; Chordata; Actinopteri; Salmoniformes; Salmonidae. The record is from RNAcentral.